GUCGUCAGCUCGUGUCGUGAGAUGUGGGUUAAGUCCGUAACGAGCGCAACCCUUGUCCUUAGUUACCAGCACGUUAUGGUGGGCGACUCUAAGGAGACUGCCGGUGACAAACCGGAGGAAGGUGGGGAUGACGUCAAGUCAUCAUGGCCCUUACGGCCUGGGCUACACACGUGCUACAAUGGUCGGUACAAAGGGUUGCCAAGCCGCGAGGUGGAGCUAAUCCCAUAAAACCGAUCGUAGUCCGGAUCGCAGUCUGCAACUCGACUGCGUGAAGUCGGAAUCGCUAGUAAUCGUGAAUCAGAAUGUCACGGUGAAUACGUUCCCGGGCCUU
This 331-nucleotide ribosomal RNA is filed under the name uncultured Pseudomonas sp. RNAcentral describes it as "bacterial SSU rRNA". It matches the Rfam family "Bacterial small subunit ribosomal RNA", at positions 1051 to 1382 of the family's 1533-position model. Lineage: Bacteria; Pseudomonadati; Pseudomonadota; Gammaproteobacteria; Pseudomonadales; Pseudomonadaceae. The record is from RNAcentral.